AUACUUACCUUAAGAUGUCAGAGGAGAUCAAGAAGUCCUUCUGACCAGGCAUCGUUUUUUUCCAAUUUAGAGGGAAGUUAUGCAUUUCCUGCAUUGGAAGUUCUCUGAUCUUUUGGGAUAAGAAAACUUCUUUUUGCUCCAAUUGAUGUAAACUCCCUGGUCACUUGCACAUACUUGCGGAAAAGGUGUCUGCUGACGUUUCGUUCCCCAAUUCCAAUAAGUGGGUUAAUUUCUUUGUUUUUUCUUAAUUGCAAAAGCUUGGAUUUUUAUCUACUUUUGGAGUCCUGUGUUCAUUCUGCCUGGAGAAUUAUGGCACCAGGUAUUAUAACUGGUGCUUGGGGAGCUGGUUACUGUAUGGUAUUCAGAUUCGAGGGCAUUUUGUCCUAAUUGGGAUUCCAGUUUAAGUAAUCAUAGUUGCUUUGAGGAAGCCAAGGUGUUAUGACUGGUUCUUCUUAACAUUGGGUGAUGACUAUUGCUCUUUUGAGUAGUAUGAAAUUAUCUGAAGUGGAGGUUCUGGUAAUAGCAUAAAGAUGCUGAUAGUCCUUAUUACCCAAUAUUCUCAUGGAGGCCACUGAUUCUAGGUUUUCAAUCUAUG
This 595-nucleotide small nuclear RNA is filed under the name Nakaseomyces glabratus. RNAcentral's name for it is "Candida glabrata Yeast U1 spliceosomal RNA". It matches the Rfam family "Yeast U1 spliceosomal RNA". From Rfam's summary of the family: U1 is a small nuclear RNA (snRNA) component of the spliceosome (involved in pre-mRNA splicing). Its 5' end forms complementary base pairs with the 5' splice junction, thus defining the 5' donor site of an intron. RNAcentral also lists the same sequence under 1 other name. The record is from Rfam by way of RNAcentral. Lineage: Eukaryota; Fungi; Ascomycota; Saccharomycetes; Saccharomycetales; Saccharomycetaceae.